RNAcentral lists this ribosomal RNA (279 nucleotides) under uncultured Staphylococcus sp. Its description in RNAcentral is "partial 16S ribosomal RNA". It matches the Rfam family "Bacterial small subunit ribosomal RNA", at positions 83 to 355 of the family's 1533-position model. Lineage: Bacteria; Bacillati; Bacillota; Bacilli; Caryophanales; Staphylococcaceae. The record is from RNAcentral.
CCUUUGACGUUAGCGGCGGACGGGUGAGUAACACGUGGGUAACCUACCUAUAAGACUGGGAUAACUUCGGGAAACCGGAGCUAAUACCGGAUAAUAUUUCGAACCGCAUGGUUCGAUAGUGAAAGGUGGUUUUGCUAUCACUUAUAGAUGGACCCGCGCCGUAUUAGCUAGUUGGUAAGGUAACGGCUUACCAAGGCUACGAUACGUAGCCGACCUGAGAGGGUGAUCGGCCACACUGGAACUGAGACACGGUCCAGACUCCUACGGGAGGCAGCAGCU